CUGUUGCCCAAUAUCUCCCACACUCUUUCCCUCUCUCCCCACCUUCACUUGCUUGUCUUCGUUCGGUUUCCCACACGGCGGGUGCUUUUAUGACUUGAUAUUUAUCUGCUGUUCUGUUCAUGUAUUCAAAGCCUCUCCGCUUCAACUGAAACUAUUCCAUUGCUCUCUUUCAUCCCCAAUUGUGAUGUUUUGAUUUGUAAUCAUGGAAAAGUUGAAGAAGCUGAACUCUCAGAUAAGGUGAAAUGGUGUCCUUUGGGACUUUGGCAAGCGGCUUCAGUGCUGACAGACAAAGGCAGCCACUCACAAUGGAACAUCUGUAGGACACAACCUCUAAGGAGAUUAGAGCUCAAUGGCAGUGUAUGGGGAUGCUUCAGGAAUUUACCCCGACUCCUCGGAGUCAGCCUUAUCUCUCAGAUGAAUAAUUGUCCGAUGGAAGAGAAUUCCGAUGGAUUUUGUAGACGAUGAAACUCUACAGUGAACUUAAAGAUUGGCUGAACCCAAAAAGAGAUACAAAGAAACAGCGGCUCGACGGUCUCUUUCGUUUCUGCCGCAUGCCAGAAAACAGAAAUAGAAAGCAUAGACCUGCAUGUUUUUUUUCUGCGAUCGCUGUCCCUCGAAGAACAAAAGCUGUAUACAUUUAUAUGAAGGCAGACUCUUGUAGGGCCUGGUGGAAUUCUACAGGACUGAAAUUAACCAGAACGGGCUACCCGGUGGAUAAGUUCAGAGAAAGAUGACAGAAGCUUAACAAGGUAGAAAAAUGAUGACAUGAGUUAUAGCCUGUGACAUAUAUAAAUAAUGGAAGCCAGUGAUACACCAUUCUUAUCACAGCUGGAUUCCAAAUUCAGUAUUGAUAUGUUGUAGUAAACUGUGAUAGCAGAAUUUAUUUGACCACUGACCGAACAAUCACAUUUAUAGUAUUGUAUAGUAUUCCAAUUCCACAAUAUAAAAAUGGGACCAUCUUUUAUUUGGGUCAAAAUCACUCACCCGUGCCAUAGAAAGGCAUUUGCCAGGGCAUUGGACUAUGGACUACGUUUGACAAUACUCGCAAGCUACAGUAAUUACUUCUAAACACAAGCACAACGACUUCCACUUGCUUGCCAAAAACAACAUUAUUUAUAUUAAUUCCUUUCACAGGUAUGUGAUACUUAACCCUUAUUCAAAACAAGGUCAAAUGCCACUAACUGUUUCAAACUAUUAGUUACCUGAUAUACAGUAUAGGCCUACAUGGUAAAAAGAUCCAUAUCACCUGAGUGACAUGCUGCAGCACACUCACUUUAAAACUUCUUCAAGCUAGGGUCUAUUUUUCUCCACUUCCUCCACUUUAAACUGCCUGUUACUCAGGCCCAGAAGCCAGGAUGUGCAUAUAAUUGGUACCAUUGGAUAGAAAACACUUUGAAGUUUGCAGAAAUUUUACAAUAAUGUAUGCGACUACAACACAAUUACAAUGGUAGGAGAAAAUCCAAAGAAAAACCAACCACAACUUUUUUGGAGAGAGCCCAUGCACUUCCAAUGGAAAGCUAUGGGUCAUAUGUAAUUCCAGCUCCCAGAUUACAAUUCCUAUGGCUUCCAUUAGAUGUCAACAGUCUUCGUUCAAGGUUUCAGGAUUGUUUCUUCCCAAACGAGGAAGAAUUUUGAGUUUUGGUACUGGGAGUCAGAGUUGGAAAUCAGUCUGUGCGCGUGCGACGAAGGGGACGCGCACUUGUUUAUUUUGCUUUUCUAUUGAACGUACUUCUUUCCAUAUGAAGUAUUAUAGUUUAAUUAUGAUUAAAGGAUUAAAUAUAAACAUAUUUUGACUUGUUUUAACAAAGUUUAGCGGUAGCUUUUUGGAUUCCUUUCUCUGCAUGAUGAACAAGUGGAUUACUCAAAUCGAUGGAGCCAACUAAACUGACUUUUUGGGAUAUAAAGAAGGAUUUUAUCUAACAAAACAACCAUGCAUGUUGUAGCUGGGACCCUUUGGAUUGCAAAUCAGCGGAAGAUUUUCAAAAACUUAUUCUGGCAAUGACUCCCUCUGAAGAAACGUUGGUUUGAAAACCCUUUCUACUGUCUGCACUGAAGUCAAAGUGUGAAGAUCUAUCACUUUCACUCGCUAGAAGCAGAAGGUUUUUUUUGGCUCCUCAAAAUGGACCUUCGUCCAAGUUCCAAUGACUUGAGUUGUCCUUUAAAUAUUGAGGACGUAGAAAGGGGAUCUGGAGUGUGUCUCUCCUGUAGGUGAUUUAUACCUUUCAAACGUUGAAUGCAUCUGGAAGUGAUCAGGUCUGCUGGAGAAGUAAUAUUCAGACAAACAGAAGCCACCUUUGACUGGGCAGGAAUGUUAUCAGUGCCUGCUCUUCCCUGGGCCAAGCAGAAUUCCACAGUGGGAAUGAUCAGGACAGCCUAAUGCUUCUCAAACAGCUGCUUGCUGCAUCUACCCCCAACAGUUAAGCGCCCAUGCAUGGGAGUGUGUGUGGUAUCCUUUGUUGAUUCUUUCACCAGAGUGGCUGGUGUAGCAUUAGGGACAGCUCUCCUCUCGACAAGCAGCCAAGGCUUACGUGAUUAAGAUAGAUAGACUGGCUGGGACACUUAAUCUUCUGUCCAAUGAAAAAUGUUAACUGCAUCCGGAUGUUCCUGCACGUCCAUAAUUAGGCGGAAUUAUCGCUGUGUGCUUCAGAGCUGCCUCGUGAAGCGUCUCUUCUAAUUCUUCUUGUGUUGGCGUCAACUGGUUACUGUAACUUCUCCUGUCUAUCAACUUUAUCGUUGACAAGAUUAUUGAAUGUUGUUCUUUCCGAAUAAUAAAGACAUGCUGGGUGCAUGUUUUUUUCCCCCUUCCCCCCCCCCCCCCCCCCCUUCAUUUUCUCGCUUCAGAUGAAAAAUG
Molecule: long non-coding RNA, 2851 nt
Organism: Oncorhynchus nerka (sockeye salmon)
Lineage: Eukaryota; Metazoa; Chordata; Actinopteri; Salmoniformes; Salmonidae
Exons: 3
Source: RefSeq, a predicted model, not a curated record